This 445-nucleotide ribosomal RNA is filed under the name Stenotrophomonas sp. SAM-B. RNAcentral describes it as "bacterial SSU rRNA". It matches the Rfam family "Bacterial small subunit ribosomal RNA", at positions 351 to 793 of the family's 1533-position model. Lineage: Bacteria; Pseudomonadati; Pseudomonadota; Gammaproteobacteria; Lysobacterales; Lysobacteraceae. The record is from RNAcentral.
GCAGUGAGGAAUAUUGGACAAUGGCCGGAAGGCUGAUCCAGCCAUGCCGCGUGAAGGAAGACGGUCCUAUGGAUUGUAAACCGCUUUUGCGAGGGAGCAAUAAGGGCCACGUGUGGCCCGAUGAGAGUACCUCGCGAAUAAGCAUCGGCUAACUCCGUGCCAGCAGCCGCGGUAAUACGGAGGAUGCAAGCGUUAUCCGGAUUUAUUGGGUUUAAAGGGUGCGCAGGCGGCUUGUUAAGCGGGAGGUGAAAUGCCGGCGCUCAACGUCGGAAGUGCCUCCCGAACUGGUGAGCUUGAAUGACUCUGCCGUGGGAGGAAUGUGUAGUGUAGCGGUGAAAUGCUUAGAGAUUACACAGAACACCGAUUGCGAAGGCAUCUCACGAAGGGGUGAUUGACGCUGAGGCACGAAAGCGUGGGGAUCAAACAGGAUUAGAUACCCCGGUAG